AACCUUUACACUGCACGACAGUGCGAUAAGGGAAUCCCAAGUGCGUAGGCAUAGAGCCUACGCUUUUGUCCACCGUAGGGAGGUGGACGAAUAAGGGCUGGGCAAGACCGGUGCCAGCCGCCGCGGUAAUACCGGCAGCCCGAGUGAUGGCCGAUCUUAUUGGGCCUAAAGCGUCCGUAGCUGGCCGCACAAGUCCAUCGGAAAAUCCACCCGCUCAACGGGUGGGCGUCCGGUGGAAACUGUGUGGCUUGGGACCGGAAGGCGCGACGGGUACGUCCGGGGUAGGAGUGAAAUCCCGUAAUCCUGGACGGACCGCCGAUGGCGAAAGCACGUCGCGAGAACGGAUCCGACAGUGAGGGACGAGAGCUAGGGUCUCGAACCGGAUUAGAUACCCGGGUAGUCCUAGCCGUAAACAAUGCCUGCUAGGUGUGGCUCCCACUACGAGUGGGUGAUGUGCCGUAGUGAAGACGAUAAGCGAGCCGCCUGGGAAGUACGUCCGCAAGGAUGAAACUUAA
This 515-nucleotide ribosomal RNA is filed under the name uncultured archaeon. RNAcentral's name for it is "bacterial SSU rRNA". It matches the Rfam family "Archaeal small subunit ribosomal RNA", at positions 345 to 859 of the family's 1478-position model. The record is from RNAcentral.